This 73-nucleotide transfer RNA is filed under the name Candidatus Pacearchaeota archaeon. RNAcentral describes it as "tRNA-Glu". It matches the Rfam family "tRNA". From Rfam's summary of the family: Transfer RNA (tRNA) molecules are approximately 80 nucleotides in length. Lineage: Archaea; Nanobdellati. The record is from RNAcentral.
GCCCGUGUAGUCUAGCGGCCAAGGACGCUGGCCUUUCGCGCCAGAAACCCGGGUUCGAGUCCCGGCACGGGCA